GUACGGGAGUCGGUUUGCGAGCUUUGCGGGCGGGUCCCUUCGGGUGUCAGUGGCAGGACAGGAAGUCCCCUGGUCCUUAUCUCUGACAUUCAGCGUCCCACAGCGUGAGCGGCACUCCUGACUCCUGAAGAAAUAACGUGUGUGCACACCCAGUCUUCCUGUGUGGCAGUUGUACUGACUGGAUUUCUGGGCGUCACUUCCGCACGUAGGGCUUCUCUGCCUCCUUUGCAUAGUCCGCCUGCCAACGCCAUUUGAGUUUAUUGGGGUUUUUACGAGAAAUGGUCCCAGAGAAAGUGAGUUCUGAAAGGGGCUCGGUGCACUAGAAGGUGGCCCCUUUGUCUUUCCAGUAAAGUAGUUGCAGCGUUUGAGGGGAAGCUCCCUGCGAAUAGAAAUCCGACCUGAAGGAACUCCCGUCUGGCCGGAAUUCUGUCACUAGUCCUUGGGAACAGAGGCAUCAGCAUUCUUGGAAGGGAAGGUCCCAGCUCUGCAUGGCCCUAGGAUGAUUGCGCGGGAUGUGCUCGGUAACCCUUGACUCAGUAGCCAUCACGCACUGGGUGGUGCUGGGAGGGUCUUUCUGUGCAGUUCAGGCUGCCCUUGAACUGUGUAACCUUGGCUCACCUUGAACUGGAGGCGAUCUGCCUGCCCCAGCCUCCUGAGAGCUGGGAUUACAGGUAUCAUGCACCACGUGCAGCAGUAAUUUGUUGUUGGUAAUGAUAAAUUUUGCAGGAAAGUUAUAAGGAACUAUUCUGCAUUACUCUAAAUGGGAAAAUUAGAAUGCAUCACACUUCUCCAAACCAGUUUUUAAAAAUGUAAAUAAAAUACAGUACAGUGCCCACUUACAAAUAACAGACCCUUUAUGACUUAUACUUAAAAAGAUUUUGUAUCAUGUUAAAAACCCUUAAAACAUUGUUUACUAAUGUGCAGACAAUUGCCUUGGGGGUUUACAUGGCCUCAAUUAGUGCCAGAAACCUCACUGAAACUAUUCAGUUGCCAUUCAUUGUGAUUUUCCAAAUCCACGUGUUUGUGAAGUUCUGUUGAUUGUAUUUGACAUGACAUUGAACACUUUCUCCCCCACAUGAUUUUGUUAAAAACAUUGAGUUUUAGAGGCUUAGAUGUAUCAGCAUUUGCUAUAUAAGGAGCCAAUAAAAACUUAAUAGCUCCACAAAAUCAACUUCUUAAUUUUUUUCUUGACAUUCUGUGGAUGUGCAUUUGGGUUGGGCUCUGCUGGGAAGUUCUUAUGCUGGGGUUGCUUGGAUCACAGAUAAGGCUCUAUUCAUCUACUGAGGCUGGUGGUACAGAGUCUGGCAAUUCAUGCUGACUCUUGUCCUCGUCAGAUUAGCCCCAGGCCUCUUCACAAUGUGCCUGUGUGUCCAAGUGCGCAAGCAACAGCUGGGAAGGACUUUCUGAACCUACCUAUGCAUUGUACUUACUGAUGUCCCGAUGGCCAGAGAAUUCAGAGAAAAAGCCCAGAUCAUCAUUGGAACAUGGUAUACAUGGGCUUAGAUGCAAGGAGACUUGCCUGAGGGUAUCAUUCCUGAAAGAGUAUGCCACAAGACAUUGUGUGUGUGUGUGUGUGUGUGUAUAUAUAUAUAUAUAUAUAUAUAUUUUCCCCUCCUAUAUAAUUGUGAGCAAAAACUGUUGGGUUGCAAGAGGUAUACUGUCUGCAACGUUCAGGUAAUAUAAAAUCAUGGAGUGUUGGAUGGAAACACUUACCUGGAGUCCUUUGUGGAACCCUCAUAGUAAUAGGGAAGUAGUUAAUUAGGCCCAAGUAUAUUUCUAUAUAGUAAUUUUACUGACAACAUGUUUCCUUCUUUGGGUUUUAUACUUUCAGGUAAUAUAAUUUUGGGAAGUCAGUGGCUAGUGUGUGGUUUUAUUAACCCAAAAACAUUGUAUGUUUAAUCAUUGCAAAGUACUGUGCUUGCGGAUGUGUUUUGGGUAUUAUCUUUGCCGCCUCUUGUUGAGCUGUAAACUGCUGUUGUCCUGUAGUGCGGCCGUUUCCAGCUGAUGCUUGGUGAGCUUACAGAGGGAGCCAGGACCGAGCCCCACGCAGUUGUGACUGCUGCACUCGCCUUUCCCCUCUGUGUUCCCACAAGCACAAAACACGGGUCAGUCUCUGGUGAGCUCUUUCUCAUUCCUCACUGAGGUUUUUGCUGUUUUUAUUAGCCCACAUUUGUAGGCCACCGUGUUUGCAUUCCUUGUGUGGAGGUGCUGCAUGGAUGGAACCAUCUCAGUUCCCCGGUUCACUCCCUGUCCUUCGCUCUCUCACCCUCUCCAUCUCUGGACCCAGAGACCCAGCCCCUUCUUUCUCAUCAGGUUCUUUCUAAUCUAAUGCUAGAGGCCUGGGCAGAAGCUGCAGCACUGCUUAGGAAUAGUGAACUCUGCAGCAGGCUUUUUUCUUUUUAC
This 2403-nucleotide long non-coding RNA is filed under the name Heterocephalus glaber (naked mole-rat). RNAcentral's name for it is "lncRNA (ENSHGLG00100050132.1)". The record is from RNAcentral. Lineage: Eukaryota; Metazoa; Chordata; Mammalia; Rodentia; Bathyergidae.